RNAcentral lists this small nucleolar RNA (218 nucleotides) under Sus scrofa (pig). RNAcentral's name for it is "Small nucleolar RNA ZL1 (ENSSSCG00030054275.1)". It matches the Rfam family "Small nucleolar RNA ZL1". Rfam says of the family: Host gene TRRAP. Predicted target U2@U47. The record is from RNAcentral. Lineage: Eukaryota; Metazoa; Chordata; Mammalia; Artiodactyla; Suidae.
GGAGAAGCAACGUGAUGAGCAUUGCUGGCUGGAGCUCCAAAGGGGCACCUGUGUGUGUGUGUGUGUGUGUGUGUGUGUGUGUGUGUGUGUCUGUACCCUUGUCUGUGCAUGCACACGUGUGUCUGGGAGUAUGUGUGAGCGUGGCUGGUUGUAGGGACCUAGUUAUGUGCCUCCUUUUGGACGAUGAUAGUCAAAAACUGAUAAGAUCUGAUUGCUUC